Molecule: ribosomal RNA, 465 nt
Filed under: uncultured Klebsiella sp.
Lineage: Bacteria; Pseudomonadati; Pseudomonadota; Gammaproteobacteria; Enterobacterales; Enterobacteriaceae
Description: bacterial SSU rRNA
Rfam family: Bacterial small subunit ribosomal RNA
Source: RNAcentral
CCUACGGGGGGCAGCAGUGGGGAAUAUUGCACAAUGGGCGCAAGCCUGAUGCAGCCAUGCCGCGUGUGUGAAGAAGGCCUUCGGGUUGUAAAGCACUUUCAGCGGGGAGGAAGGCGUUAAGGUUAAUAACCUUGUCGAUUGACGUUACCCGCAGAAGAAGCACCGGCUAACUCCGUGCCAGCAGCCGCGGUAAUACGGAGGGUGCAAGCGUUAAUCGGAAUUACUGGGCGUAAAGCGCACGCAGGCGGCCUGUCAAGUCGGAUGUGAAAUCCCCGGGCUCAACCUGGGAACUGCAUUCGAAACUGGCAGGCUAGAGUCUUGUAGAGGGGGGUAGAAUCCCAGGUGUAGCGGUGAAAUGCGUAGAGAUCUGGAGGAAUACCGGUGGCGAAGGCGGCCCCCUGGACAAAGACUGACGCUCAGGUGCGAAAGCGUGGGGAGCAAACAGGAUUAGAUACCCGAGUAGUC